UGGGGAAUCUUGCACAAUGGGCGAAAGCCUGAUGCAGCAACGCCGCGUGCGGGAAGACAGCCCUAGGGUUGUAAACCGCUUUCAGCAGGGAAGAAACUGACGGUACCUGCAGAAGAAGAUGCGGCCAACUACGUGCCAGCAGCCGCGGUGACACGUAGGCAUCAAGCGUUAUCCGGAUUUAUUGGGCGUAAAGAGCUCGUAGGCGGUCCGUUGCGUCUGCCGUGAAAAUCCCCGGAGCUCAACUCCGGGCCUGCGGUGGAUACGGGCGGACUAGAGUCCGGUAGGGGAGACUGGAAUUCCUGGUGUAGCGGUGGAAUGCGCAGAUAUCAGGAGGAACACCGGUGGCGAAGGCGGGUCUCU
This 360-nucleotide ribosomal RNA is filed under the name uncultured bacterium. RNAcentral describes it as "bacterial SSU rRNA". It matches the Rfam family "Bacterial small subunit ribosomal RNA", at positions 355 to 730 of the family's 1533-position model. The record is from RNAcentral.